GACUCCACGAAGUUGGAUUCGCUAGUAAUCGCGCAUCAGCCAUGGCGCGGUGAAUACGUUCCCGGGCCUUGUACACACCGCCCGUCAAGCCAUGGGAGCCGGGGGCGCCUGAAGUCCGGGACCGCGAAGACCGGCCUAGGGCGAAACUGGUAACUGGGGCUAAGUCGUAACAAGGUAUC
This 179-nucleotide ribosomal RNA is filed under the name uncultured bacterium. RNAcentral's name for it is "partial 16S ribosomal RNA". It matches the Rfam family "Bacterial small subunit ribosomal RNA", at positions 1314 to 1500 of the family's 1533-position model. The record is from RNAcentral.